This 428-nucleotide unclassified non-coding RNA is filed under the name Hevea brasiliensis (rubber tree). The record is from RNAcentral. Lineage: Eukaryota; Viridiplantae; Streptophyta; Magnoliopsida; Malpighiales; Euphorbiaceae.
AGAAGUUCCAAAUAGAAAGUAUAUACGGCCUUCCUCUCCCAUUGUCCUUCCAUAAGCAUGUCACGUACAUAGAAUACAUAUUUUACAAAUGUUGCAACAGUUGUUGUAGCAAGUAUCAUGUACUCAAACGCGAAGAAGAGAGAACCAGAAGCCUGUCUUGUCUGUAUCAAAUGGUUCAUGUAGUUGUACAAAAGGAGACUAUCUAUGAGAAGGAGGAAGCCCAUGAAAGAAACUAUGCGAAUGUGGGACAACUUAGUAACAGCUGGAGUUGUUUCAAUGUACUCAACCCGUUUCUGGGCCAACCAAUGCAAAGUCUUGACUAAAAAUAGUGCGGUGACCAUGGUAAUAAACGUCAUGGAGAAGUCUUGCCGGAAAAUAGUGAUUGCAAAAAGUAUUUCCAUGAGUUCACGCCAUGACUGCUCAUUUAA